CCUACGGGUGGCAGCAGUGAGGAAUAUUGGUCAAUGGGCGGAAGCCUGAACCAGCCAAGUAGCGUGCAGGAUGAAGGCCCUACGGGUCGUAAACUUCUUUUGCACGGGGAUAACAUCCUCCACGUUUGGAGGUCUGCAUGUACCGUGCGAAUAAGGGCCGGCUAAUUCCGUGCCAGCAGCCGCGGUACUACGGAAGUCCCGAGCGUUAUCCGGUUUCAUUGGGCUUAAAGGGAGCGUAGGCGGGCGUUCAAGUCAGCUGUAAAAUCGCGCGGCUCAACCGUGCCCCGCAGUUGAAACUGGACGCCUUGAGUUCACUACAGGCAGGCGGAAUUCGUGGUGUAGCGGUGAAAUGCAUAGAUAUCACGAGGAACCCCGAUUGCGAAGGCAGCCUGCCGGGGUGCGACUGACGCUGAGGCUCGAAGGUGCGGGUAUCAAACAGGAUUAGAUACCCGAGUAGUC
RNAcentral lists this ribosomal RNA (459 nucleotides) under uncultured bacterium. Its description in RNAcentral is "partial 16S ribosomal RNA". It matches the Rfam family "Bacterial small subunit ribosomal RNA", at positions 338 to 795 of the family's 1533-position model. The record is from RNAcentral.